This 220-nucleotide unclassified non-coding RNA is filed under the name fungal sp. RNAcentral describes it as "partial internal transcribed spacer region". The stretch from base 1 to 46 matches the Rfam family "Eukaryotic small subunit ribosomal RNA", at positions 1786 to 1831 of the family's 1831-position model. Lineage: Eukaryota; Fungi. The record is from RNAcentral.
AAGUCGUAACAAGGUCUCCGUAGGUGAACCUGCGGAGGGAUCAUUAACAAAUCUACACACAUACCAUGUGUUACUGUCCGUUCCGGGAGUGGGUGCAGUGCCCGGAACACCCUCAGAUACGCGAUUGUCAUGUAUUGUUGGGUUGUAUUGGGUAACACCAUUACACACACACAUAUAUAUAUAACACAAACAACUUUUAACAAUGGAUCUCUUGGCUCUU